CCUAUCUCAGUUACUCCGAUGAUAGCGCGAAUAUUUGAAAGGGCGGUAUACGAACAGGUAAAUUCUUACCUCUCUCUAAAUAAUAUUCUAAAUGUUCAUCAGUCUGGUUUUAGAACUCUUCACUCUACUCUAACUACACUGUUGGACCUAACCAAUGACUGGUGUUUCAAUAUCGAUAAUAAAAUGAUUAAUGGUGCCAUUUUCCUAGAUCUUCAGAAGGCGAUGAUACUACACUUACUUUCUCUGACUGCACAGUAAAUGAAUUGACAAAUCAAAUGCAAACAGAUCUUGMUAAAAUAGCGUCCUGGCUGCGCGCAAAUAAGCUGACUCUAAAUGUUAUCAAAUCCGAAUUUAUGCUAAUUGGCUCACGCCAGAGAUUGUCUGUCCUUGAUACAAGUAAUGUAAGCAUCUCUAUCAAUGGCAGCAACCUUAAGAGAGUUCAAAAUACUAAAUGCUUAGGUGUCUAUAUCGAUGAACACCUGACAUGGAAGACUCAAAUUGAUGGCAAUACAAAAAAGGUGGCCAUUGGUCUAAGCUCUUUGAAAAGUAUUAAAAGACUUGUCAACACGGAGUGUCUAAUCAAAGUAUAUAGGGCUACAAAUGAACCCUACUUUGAUUACUGCAGUCUAGUAUGGGAUAGUCUUGAUGCGUCCCUUUCUAAAAAACUGCAGAUUUUGCAGAAUCGCGCGGCACGCCUAAUCACUGGCGCACCUUACUUAACGGUAAGGACCAGUGAAGUGUUUGAUAUGCUGAAAUGGGAUACUCUCGAGGUAAAAAGACUUAAACAAAAGGCAAUAAUGAUGUUUAAAAUUGUUCAUGGUUGAGCACCACCAUAUCUAAUUGACUUAUUUCCUAAAAAACAAGUGCCAUUCCAUGAUCUUCGCGGCUCAAAGUAUGAUCUUAAACUUCCUAGAGUGAGAACCGAUUACCUAAAAAAUAGCUUUGMAUUCACUKGUGCAAAGCUUUGGAACUCGCUUCCCACCCACUUAAAAGAAAUUGGAUCUCUUAAAAACUUUAAAGAGCAACUUGAAUAUCAUACCUUCCAGCACUGACAAAUGACUACCACAUAUUGUUUGUUUUUAUUGAAUUUGUUAAAAGAGAACAUAUAUUUUAUAGUUAAAGUUUUUAUAACAUUACCAUGUACAAUUUUUAUAUUUGAUAUAAUAUCUAGACGGCCUCAAGGGAGACCAAUUAAUUCUUGUAAUUUACUGAUUGAGUUA
Molecule: long non-coding RNA, 1220 nt
Organism: Exaiptasia diaphana
Lineage: Eukaryota; Metazoa; Cnidaria; Anthozoa; Actiniaria; Aiptasiidae
Exons: 3
Source: RefSeq, a predicted model, not a curated record